Molecule: ribosomal RNA, 253 nt
Filed under: uncultured bacterium
Lineage: Bacteria
Description: partial 16S ribosomal RNA
Rfam family: Bacterial small subunit ribosomal RNA
Source: RNAcentral
CACGUAGGGCGCAAGCGUUGUCCGGAAUUAUUGGGCGUAAAGAGCUCGUAGGCGGUCUGUUGCGUCCGCUGUGAAAACUCGGGGCUUAACCCCGAGCCUGCAGUGGAUACGGGCAGACUAGAGGUAGGUAGGGGAGAAUGGAAUUCCCGGUGUAGCGGUGAAAUGCGCAGAUAUCGGGAGGAACACCGGUGGCGAAGGCAGCACUCUGGGACGGUACUGACGCUGAGACGCGAAAGCGUGGGGAGCAAACAGG